Molecule: ribosomal RNA, 482 nt
Filed under: uncultured bacterium
Lineage: Bacteria
Description: partial 16S ribosomal RNA
Rfam family: Bacterial small subunit ribosomal RNA
Source: RNAcentral
GAUGAACGCUGGCGGCAGGCCUAAUACAUGCAAGUCGAACGGGAUCACGGUACUUGCUUCUGCUGACAGUGGCGCACGGGUGCGUAACACGUAUGUACACUGCCAUUAUCAGUGGGGUAGCCUCUCGCAAGAGAGAUUAAGCCCGCAUACAGUAACAGCACAACAGUGUGUAAUGAUGAAAUAUUUAUCCGAUCACGAUGGGCAUGCGGAACAUUAGCUAGGUGGCGGGGUAACGGCCAACCAUGGCGACGCUGCUGAGGUGAGCUGAUCGGAGGGCCCACUAGACUGGUACUGAGACCCGGACCAGACUCCUACGGGAGGCAGCGGUAAGGAAGACAGUGCAAGGGAGGCAAGCCUGAACCAGCCACGCCGGUUGCAGGAAGACUGCCCUACGGGAUGUAUACUGCUGGUAUACGGGAACAAACCCAGAUACGUGUAUCUGUCUGACGGUACUGUAAGAAUAAGCACCGGCUAACUCCGUG